UCCACUCUAUGGGGGCAAUUAUAUCAUCU
This 29-nucleotide non-coding RNA is filed under the name Rattus norvegicus (Norway rat). The record is from RNAcentral. Lineage: Eukaryota; Metazoa; Chordata; Mammalia; Rodentia; Muridae.